Molecule: ribosomal RNA, 688 nt
Filed under: uncultured bacterium
Lineage: Bacteria
Description: bacterial SSU rRNA
Rfam family: Bacterial small subunit ribosomal RNA
Source: RNAcentral
UAGUGAUUAGAGUUUGAUCAUGGCUCAGAUUGAACGCUGGCGGCAUGCCUUACACAUGCAAGUCGAACGGUAACAGGUUAAGCUGACGAGUGGCGAACGGGUGAGUAAUAUAUCGGAACGUGCCCAGUAGUGGGGGAUAGCCCGGCGAAAGCCGGAUUAAUACCGCAUACGACCUACGGGUGAAAGCGGGGGAUCGCAAGACCUCGCGCUAUUGGAGCGGCCGAUAUCAGAUUAGCUAGUUGGUGGGGUAAAAGCUCACCAAGGCGACGAUCUGUAGCUGGUCUGAGAGGACGACCAGCCACACUGGGACUGAGACACGGCCCAGACUCCUACGGGAGGCAGCAGUGGGGAAUUUUGGACAAUGGGGGCAACCCUGAUCCAGCCAUGCCGCGUGAGUGAAGAAGGCCUUCGGGUUGUAAAGCUCUUUCAGCCGGGAAGAAAUCGCACGGGCUAAUACCCUGUGUGGAUGACGGUACCGGAAUAAGAAGCACCGGCUAACUACGUGCCAGCAGCCGCGGUAAUACGUAGGGUGCGAGCGUUAAUCGGAAUUACUGGGCGUAAAGCGUGCGCAGGCGGUUUAGUAAGACAGGCGUGAAAUCCCCGGGCUCAACCUGGGAACUGCGCUUGUGACUGCUAAGCUAGAGUACGGCAGAGGGGGGUGGAAUUCCACGUGUAGCAGUGAAAUGCG